CCAAAGGCUCUUUUAAGAGCCACCACUUUAUCAAUGAAAGGGCUGU
Eurypyga helias (sunbittern) is the source of this 46-nucleotide non-coding RNA. The record is from Rfam. NCBI's taxonomy places the organism in Eukaryota, Metazoa, Chordata, Aves, Eurypygiformes, Eurypygidae.